UAGAGUCCCAAAACUGCCCAGAAAGUGGUUUUUAGGCAGUUUUGAGUGUUUAGUUGCUGUUUUGAUUCUUUUGGUUCGUUUUAGUAUUUUAACGUGAGUUUUGCAUUCUUUGAGUCUAAUCUAGUGCUUUAAACUUUGUUUUUACAUUUCUAAGUCAGUUUUCAAGUGUUUAGCAAUCCCUCCUAAUCCCCGGUCUAAAACGAUCCCUAUUUACAUACUUUGCUACAAUUGAUAAAAAGAGGGUUUAAUUUUGUGUGUUAACUUAUUUUUCACAUCAGUGCAAUGAUUCAAUGUAAUGAUGCAUGAAAUCUAAAAUGAUGGAGGGAACAAGGAAUGGUGUAGCAAUUAAGUGCAAUGAUUCAAUGUAAUGAUGCAUGAAAUAUGAAAUAAUGAAGGGGACAAGGGCGAUUAUGCAUGGCAUGGGUGGAAAGGUGAGUAAGUGGUGAAUCAAUGAGUGCAAGGAGGUUAAAGGAUAUUGUGCACAUGGUAGACAAAGGAAAGGAAGUGGAAUGAUGCAACAAAUGAGUCAAUGGAGGGAACAUGGAUGAUGAUGCACGGCAUAUAGGAAUCCAAAGGGAGUGCAAUGGUGGUGCACGGGAAUGAUGGAAAGGUGAAUGGUGGAGUGACACCCCUUUGUGGCUGAGCUCUGAUAGGAGCAUAUUUAUGCGACUGAGUUAGCUUGUUCUCAUGCAUUUAUGUUGUUAUUUCUUAGUUAAUUAUGUAUUUUAAGCUAUUUUCGUGUGUUUGUAGGUCCAUAGGCCUUAUAAAUCAAUAAGAUGCAUUUUGGAGUAGUUUUGGGCUUGGAAUGAAUAGCACAUGCAUGGAGCAAGGUGGAUGGAUGAAAUUGAAGACUAAAGAGGCUAGAAAUGUGUUAAAGAGAAAGAAGAAUUAAUGUAAAAAGGACAAAGAGCUCAGCCACAAAGGGGUGUCACUCCACCAUUCACCUUUCCAUCAUUGUCGUGCACCACCAUUGCACUCCCUUUGGAUUCCUAUGCCGUACAUCAUCAUCCAUGUUCCCUCCAUUGACUCAUUUGUUGCAUCAUUCCACUUCCUCUCCUUUGUCUUGUUGGAAAUAUGCCCUGAAAGUCAAUCUUUGGAAGAAACCUUUCAGGACAAAUGAAUCGAUGUAUAGAUGACUCUUAUACAUCAAAUGGCAAAGAUACUAAUUAGGACUAUCUCAAUAAACGAUAUAUGUCCUAAAUAAUGAAUCCAUGGACAAUGGAUCGAUUGAAGAAGUAAUCUAAUGAUGUUAGACUACAGAGACCUUCUUCACAUAACCAUUAUGUCCAAAAAGGUUCCUGGUCAUUGGAUUGUAUGAGGGAAACUAACAAUGCUUAGACCGGUACAUACUGUGUCCGCUUCAAAUGGAAGAAUGGAAAGUCUCAUCCCAUUUGUGUAGUGACACUAAGACAAGUAUGUAGGUGCUCAUUAAGGGAAUGAGUUCACUGAACACAAUCGAACGAGAGUACUUGCAUGGAGGUCUACUCACAUGUCAAGCAAGUAACUCUAAUGGUUGGAAUAAUGUAAGUAGUCCUUUGACCUGAGGCAUCGUCGUUGUCUUGUGGCUAAGUACUUAAUCUUUGAUUAUGUCAAAGUCACCCCAUUCGUGGGUGUCCACGGCAUAAUUGGGGUUAAGCCACUUAGUCAUGAAGGCAAGUGAAUGCGCAACAAGGAAUCUCUAAUCCUCGAUAAGAGAGGAAGAAUACUCUAAGAUAUGAUUCGGGAACCUUCGGCCGAAGUAUCGAGCGUAAUAAAGGAAAGCGUUCCUAUACGACUCAAUAGAAUCAUAUAAGAAGGAAUAAUCACAUUAGGGGUUUGACAUAAUAUAUCCAUACCCUAGUAAUGUGAUUGAGAGUAUUGUUUUAGAGAAGGAUCGAAUUACAUUGUAAUUCCAACUGAAUAGGUUCUCCGAACAACUUCUACAUUAGCUUGGGUAGCUAUGACAUAUGGUUAGAUGUCACUCAUAGCUUGUGAGUUCUUCUAGAUGAUUAAAUGUAGUCAUCAAAGAAGAAAGGUGAAUUAAAAGGAAGUUUUAAUUCACUAAGUGAUUGGAUUAAAUAUAAUCAAUUGGAUUGAUGUCAAUCACCUCACUGCCUUGCUAAUUAGAACCUAAAAUGAUUGUACACCGAUACACUCUUGUAGUGAGUAAUUAAUGGAUGAUGGAAAUAAUUAAUUGGAUUAAUUAAGUGUUGUGAUUAAUUUAGAAAGUCUAAAGAAAUCAUAAAAGCGAUAAAAGAUCGUUUUGGGCUUAAAGAAACGUUCGGGUUUAAUUGGGUCCAUUGGGCCUAAACCCAUUGGGCUUUUAUUCAAGCAUUGGAUGACUAGAAAUAAAUAAAAGCCCAAAGCCCAAACCAACACAAAGGGGCCGGCCAUUUAAAGUGGAGAGGGAGAGAUAUUAAGUCAAUUUGUUGACUAGGUUUCUUUUUGUCUAUAUAAGGAACUUUAUAGAGAUUUAUUCCUUAAUGGUUUUUGUGUGUUUUAAAACAACAAAGAGGCAAAAUAAACAUCUCUCUAAAAACACCAAAGGUCGGCCACCUUGAGGGUGAUUUAGCUAACAAUCUUUCACCCUUUUGGUUAUUCCUCCAUCCAUCUCACUACACUAGUGGGUGUGGAUAUUUAGAGGUCUUCUCCUUUGGAGACUAAAGGAGAACCUUGGAGCACUCUUACUAACAAAGUGGAGGAGGCAAGGAGGGAGGCUAGGCUCAAGGACUUCAAGGAGCAAAGGGCUUGGAGGUGGUCCAUCCUUGGUCUAAAAUCAAGAUCAAGAGGUAUAGAUCUAUACCUUCACUUAGUUCUUAACUUGAAUGUUUUAGAUGCAUUAUAUAUAAACCUAUGAAGCUUGAAGGGGAUUUGCAUGACUAUAGCUUUGAUAUUAUUUGAUAACAUGCUUCCGUUGCUUAUGUAUAUAAAUUUUGAAUUGUAUAUGCAUGCUAGUCAUUUCGAAAUCCCAUGUGUAAAACUCAUAGAUUUCCCUUCAUGUCUACCAUGUGCACAAUAUCCUUUCACCUCCUUGCACUCAUUGAUUCACCACUUACUCACCUUUCCACCCAUGCCAUGCAUAAUCACCCUUGUCCCCUUCAUUAUUUCAUAUUUCAUGCAUCAUUACAUUGAAUCAUCGCACUUAAUUGCUAGAUUAUGUGUGCAAUAUAAUUUGAUAAAUUCCAGUUAUGAACUCUUGAAUCGUCAAUGCAAUUGGCUUAACUAUUUGAUUGAUAACUUAUUUGUAUUUGUUAUACCAAAAGUACCAAAAGUACCAAAAGUACCAAAAGUAUUUGUUAUGAACUCUUACUACUCUUCUUUCACAGGUGGUUGAAAUACCAAAAGUACAAAGUGUAGCUGCUUGUGGCGUGUGCUUAAUGCAAGGAUAUCUCACGGAUAAGUGCCCUCAAUUGAUCAGGAAUGAAGGGUGAGAAUUUGAGAAUUUGCCAAUGCCGUGGGUUUUCAAGGCCGCAAUCAGCAACAUAAUGACCCCUACUCCAACACUUACAAUCCAGGAUGGAGAGAUCAUCCAAAUUUCAAGUAGAGAGAACCACAACAAUCUGCCCAACAAGGAGGAUUUCGGCCACAACCCCCUGGGAUAUAUCAAAGGCCAUAUGUACCCACUCAAGUCCAACCACAAUCUACCCAAACCAAUUCAGGUACAUCCAUGGAUAAUUAUCAAAUUGUUCAAUUACUAACUUCCUUAGUGCAAGGGCAGCAAAAUCAAAAUAAAAACAAUGCUCAAUCAAGCUAAGGAGGUGGAUGAAUUGAAGAAACAAAUGGGCCAAAUGGCGGAGUUCAUGGGGCAAAUCAAAGAGCAAGGCAAACUGCCUAGCACAACCAUUGUGAAUCCAAGGGAAGGAUUUGAAUCCGUAAAAGCCAUUACCUUGAAAAGUGGAAAAGAAGUUGGAAUGGACCCCCAACCAUCAAAAUCUACCCAAACGGAGGACGAGAAGCUGCAACAAGAGGAGGAUGUCCAACACACACCCAUGGCAAGGAAGGAAACAACCUUACCGUGCACUCCUACACUCCCUAAUCCAUCCAAUCUGUCCACCACAGGUAAGAAAGGUUCCAAUUCAGUUAAUUCUAACAUUAUUCCACAAAAUGAACCUUUCCCUCACAGAUUCAUGCAAACACAGAAUGAAGAAAGUGAAAAAGACAUCCUUGAAACAUUCAGAAAAGUACAAGUCAAUAUUCCACUCUUACAUGCCAUCAAACAAAUCCCGAAGUACGCUAAGUUUUUAGAGAAGCUUUGCACAACAAGGAACCGGAUUCGGGAGAAAGAGGUGGUACAUGUGAAUGAGAAUGUCUCUGCAAUGUUGCAAAGGAAGCUGCUACCCAAAUGCAUAGAUCCAAGUAGUUUCACUAUCCCUUGUGUUAUUGGAAAUACGAGGUUUGAACAUGCUAUGCUAGAUCUAGGUGCAUCAAUUAAUGUCAUGCCAUAUACUGUUUAUGCAUCUAUGAAUCUAGGAGAGCUUAAACAUGAUGGUGUUGUUAUUCAACUAGCCAAUCGAUCUAAUGCCUACCCGAAAGGAGUUUUGAAGGAUGUUUUGGUGCAGGUAGACCAAUUGAUUUUUCAAGCAGAUUUCUAUGUGCUUGACAUGGAGGAUGCAGCCCACUCUCCACCACCAUCAAUCUUACUUGGAAGACCUUUCAUGAAAACAGCUCAAACUAAGAUUGAUGUGCCCAAGGGAGCAUUAACAAUGGCAUUUGGUGGUGAUAUGAUGAUUCACUUUAAAAUUCCUGAAUCUAAUGUGAAUCUUAAUGAUGUUUGUUCUUGUUUUGCCAUUGAUGUAGUUGAAAACAUAGGACAAGAACCUUCCGCACCAACUAAGAAGGAUGAAUUUCUAACCACCAACGAAGAAGAAAUUGGAGUGGAGCACAAAGAACACACCACUAACCUCCAAAUGCAUAAUCUGGCCGAAAGCACAUUUGGAAAAUCUGUUGACAGUGCUGCCACUUCAUUGUAACACAUUGGUAAACCACCUAUUCCAAUUUCGAUUCCCAUUUCAACUAAUAGGUUGUUACCUUGUAUGGUGCAGGUCCCCAAUCGAAUCCAAGCUGGUGGGAAUGAUUACAUUGACUUAAGGAUGCUCAACGCCCCAAUCGGGAAGGAUUACUAUGCCCUUCCAUUCAUAGAGCCAAUGUAUGAGUAUUUUGAGGAGCAUGCCGUAGAGCACAUUGAUUGGAGCAUAUUUAUGCGACUUAGUUAACAUGUUUUCUUGCAUUUACUUAGUUAGUUAUUGCUUAUAAGAGUGUUUUAAGCUAUUUUCGUGUGUUUUGUAGGUCCUAAUAACUAAGUUGGAAAGAAAGUGCAUUUUGGUGCAAUUUGGAGCAAUUUUGGGCCAAAAUGGAUUGCAUGCAUAUGGA
Molecule: long non-coding RNA, 5349 nt
Filed under: Malus domestica (apple)
Lineage: Eukaryota; Viridiplantae; Streptophyta; Magnoliopsida; Rosales; Rosaceae
Description: long non-coding RNA (MDOM_LNC018882)
Source: RNAcentral